RNAcentral lists this ribosomal RNA (497 nucleotides) under uncultured bacterium. RNAcentral describes it as "partial 16S ribosomal RNA". It matches the Rfam family "Bacterial small subunit ribosomal RNA", at positions 28 to 507 of the family's 1533-position model. The record is from RNAcentral.
GAUGAACGCUGGCGGCGUGCCUAAUACAUGCAAGUCGAGCGAACAGACGAGGAGCUUGCUCCUCUGACGUUAGCGGCGGACGGGUGAGUAACACGUGGAUAACCUACCUAUAAGACUGGGAUAACUUCGGGAAACCGGAGCUAAUACCGGAUAAUAUAUUGAACCGCAUGGUUCAAUAGUGAAAGACGGUUUUGCUGUCACUUAUAGAUGGAUCCGCGCCGCAUUAGCUAGUUGGUAAGGUAACGGCUUACCAAGGCGACGAUGCGUAGCCGACCUGGGAGGGGGAUCGGCCACACUGGAACUGAGACACGGUCCAGACUCCUACGGUAGGCAGCAGUAGGGAAUCUUCCGCAAUGGGCGAAAGCCUGACGGAGCAGCGCCGCGUGAGUGAUGAAGGUCUUCGGAUCGUAAAACUCUGUUAUUAGGGAAGAACAAAUGUGUAAGUAACUAUGCACGUCUUGACGGUACCUAAUCAGAAAGCCACGGCUAACUACGUG